CUUCAUUCAUUGCGCCGGGGCGGGUCCGUUUAUUUUAGACAUUUGAUUGUGUUCCAGCCAAUCCAAAUAUAGUCGUAGACAGGUAUUUUUAGCGGAAGCGUGUCCCCGUUACCUCUUAACAGGGAACAACCUUAUGAUAUCCCCAUACUGUAAUGGGAGAAAGUAGAGAACCGGUAACGUUAGCCUCUGGUAAUUUCGCCCGUUGGCUCAGAAUGAAGCUUUUUUAGCAGGCUUCUCCAUUUUAACUGUGUUGUUUAACCCGCUUGGCUCUCUGGAAAAGCAGGAUAGUAUUAAGUUCGGACGUCCCGAGGACACUAAACAGGUUUCGGUUGUUGUGCUUAAUGUUGUUGUAGAUCGAGUGUGGUUUAAAAGCAACCGUAUGAACGAGAGUCAGUUACUUAGCCGACAACAGAUCGCUAAGAAUCUCGAUACAACAAGUAGCAGUAACAGACGGUAGUUACAGACUUCUCAAAAUGGUGAGCACAUGUGCUUUUACUAAACACGCCGGCAGGAAAUGUUGCUUUCAAGCAAGCACCUCAACGUAUCAUGAAUGUGCAACAGAAUAACUGAGGUGGUUACCGUUCCCUGCCGAUAUAUGGACAAGCACAAGCAUCACAGUGAGCUGCUGAUGGAAUUCUUGGUAAGCAGGAGGAAUAAAGAGGGGGUAAUCCUGUCAACAUGGAGUGACGAAAUGGGGGACACAUUGCAUGUUCUGACGUGGAGUCUGGAUAAGGAUUACACAGAGCUGACUUUACACACCUUCUCACUGAUGAGGGAAUUCCAUCCAGGAUUAUGAUGCACAUCAUUUACACAGACACACACACACACCCUACUACACUAUACCACAUGGCAAAAAAAAAUAAAAAUUUCUGGGUCUCAUUCACUAACUAUACUUUUGCAACAA
Cyprinus carpio carpio is the source of this 904-nucleotide long non-coding RNA. The record is from Ensembl. Lineage: Eukaryota; Metazoa; Chordata; Actinopteri; Cypriniformes; Cyprinidae.